This 73-nucleotide transfer RNA is filed under the name Cafileria marina. Its description in RNAcentral is "tRNA-Met". It matches the Rfam family "tRNA". From Rfam's summary of the family: Transfer RNA (tRNA) molecules are approximately 80 nucleotides in length. Lineage: Eukaryota; Bigyra; Bicosoecida. The record is from RNAcentral.
GAUGAAAUAUUUUAAUUGGCAGAAUAGUAGAUUCAUGUUCUAUCUGGUGUAGGUUCAAAUCCUAUUUUCAUCA